Molecule: ribosomal RNA, 361 nt
Filed under: uncultured bacterium
Lineage: Bacteria
Description: bacterial SSU rRNA
Rfam family: Bacterial small subunit ribosomal RNA
Source: RNAcentral
AGGGUUCGAUUCUGGCUCAGGAUGAACGCUGGCGGCAUGCCUAAGACAUGCAAGUCGAACGAGAUGGUCCAUUGAAGAAUGAGUGCUUGCACGAUUUUGGAUUUGGAUCACCAUCUAGUGGCAGACGGGUGAGUAACACGUGGGUGACCUACCUUCAAGUUGGGGAUAACAGUUGGAAACGAUUGCUAAUACCGAAUAAGACAUAUUUGUCAUGGAUAUGUUGAAAGGAGCCUUUAAAGCUUCACUUAAAGAUGGGCCUGCGGCGUAUUAAUUAGUUGGUGGGGUAACGGCCUACCAAGAUAGCGAUGCGUAGCCGAACUGAGAGGUUGAGCGGCCACACUGGAACUGAGAUACGGUCCAG